Molecule: non-coding RNA, 27 nt
Filed under: Mus musculus (house mouse)
Lineage: Eukaryota; Metazoa; Chordata; Mammalia; Rodentia; Muridae
Source: RNAcentral
UGACACACCGUUACCUAGCUUUCUAAG